Molecule: ribosomal RNA, 948 nt
Filed under: Cycloporus gabriellae
Lineage: Eukaryota; Metazoa; Platyhelminthes; Polycladida; Euryleptidae
Description: partial large subunit ribosomal RNA
Rfam family: Eukaryotic large subunit ribosomal RNA
Source: RNAcentral
GCCCAGCACCGAAUCCUUCAUCAUUCUGGUGACAGGAAAUGUGGUGUUUAGGCCGUACUUUGUGCUGAUUCGUCUUACCUCAAGUCCACUUGAUUGUGGCCCCAGGCCCAGAGAGGGUGUAAGGCCCGUUGAGGUGAGAUGUUCAGUACCUGGUGCGUCCUUAGAGUCGGGUUGUUUGGGAAUGCAGCCCUAAGCGGGUGGUAAACUCCAUCCAAGGCUAAAUACCAGCACGAGUCCGAUAGCGAAGAAGUACCGCGAGGGAAGGUUGAAAAGAACUUUGAAGAGAGAGUUCAAGAGUACGUGAAACCGCUGAGAGGCAAACUGGUGGAACUGAAAUGGCCUCGAGGAAUUCAGCCGUUGGUGGAGGCACACCUGUUGGUGUCUGAUUUAACGACAGCUCCAGCAGUUGACGUCUCUAUCAUAGGUGCACUUUCCUCGUUUGGGCCGGACCACGACCGGUGAGCUGAUUUGUCUGUCGUGCCUGGAAGGUAGCGCUUUCUUCGGAUAGCGUGUUAUAGACAGGUGCAUGGUCAAGCGGCGCACUGGAUGAUAAUGCCUGCCCUUUUGGGCUCAUAUGUUGGCUGUUGUGUGGGCGAGUAUCGAUUUCACUACUUCGGUAGAGGCGUUGGUCUCUGUUCGCUUUACAGUCGGCCUCUAUGAUUGGCAUUGGUAAGUCUGUGGUUUUUUAGUAGGUAGUCCACCUGACCCGUCUUGAAACACGGACCAAGGAGUCUAACAUGUGCGCGAGUCAUUGGGUUUACGAAACCUAAAGGCGCAGUGAAGGUAAAGAUCUGCUUUUUGCAGGUUGAGGUGGGAUGCUGGGUCACGCGCCCGGCCGCACUACCGGCCCGUUCUACUUGUAUCUCAAGGGAGCGGAGCAAGAGCGUACACGUUGGGACCCGAAAGAUGGUGAACUAUGCUUGCGCAGGUCGAAGCCAGAGGAAACUC